This 429-nucleotide ribosomal RNA is filed under the name bacterium. RNAcentral describes it as "partial 16S ribosomal RNA". It matches the Rfam family "Bacterial small subunit ribosomal RNA", at positions 355 to 776 of the family's 1533-position model. The record is from RNAcentral.
UAGGGAAUCUUCCACAAUGGACGCAAGUCUGAUGGAGCAACGCCGCGUGAGUGAAGAAGGUUUUCUGAUCGUAAAGCUCUGUUGUUGGUGAAGAAGGAUAGAGGCAGUAACUGGUCUUUAUUUGACGGUAAUCAACCAGAAAGUCACGGCUAACUACGUGCCAGCAGUCGCGGUAAUACGUAGGUGGCAAGCGUUGUCCGGAUUUAUUGGGCGUAAAGCGAGCGCAGGCGGAAUGAUAAGUCUGAUGUGAAAGCCCACGGCUCAACAGUGGAACUGCAUCGGAAACUGUCAGGCUAGAGUGCAGAAGAGGAGAGUGGAAUUCCAUGUGUAGCGGUGGAAUACGUAGAUAUAUGGAAGAACACCAGUGGCGAAGGCGGCUCUCUGGUCUGCAACUGACGCUGAGGCUCGAAAGCAUGGGUAGCGAACAGG